Podarcis lilfordi (Lilford's wall lizard) is the source of this 78-nucleotide non-coding RNA. The record is from the annotation of a GenBank genome assembly. NCBI's taxonomy places the organism in Eukaryota, Metazoa, Chordata, Lepidosauria, Squamata, Lacertidae.
GCCUUACAGAGGUGGCUCUUUUGGUAGACCAUGAGACUCUUAAUCUCAGGGUUGUGGGUUCAAGUCCUACGCUGAGCA